RNAcentral lists this unclassified non-coding RNA (212 nucleotides) under Hevea brasiliensis (rubber tree). The record is from RNAcentral. Lineage: Eukaryota; Viridiplantae; Streptophyta; Magnoliopsida; Malpighiales; Euphorbiaceae.
GAUUUCUAUAGUAAUUUUCUCAGAAAAUUCUGCGUCCUCCUGGUGGUGCCUAGAUGAAUUGGUGAAAAUAAUUGACUGCAAGAAAACAAUGGGACGAAAGGUUUUACCCAUUUUCUACCAUGUAGAUCCUUCUCAUAUUAGAAAUCAAACUGGAAAAUUUGGAGAAGCAUUUGGGAAAGCUAAAGAAAAGCAGAGCUUAGACGUUGUGGAAG